Molecule: transfer RNA, 77 nt
Filed under: Klebsiella pneumoniae
Lineage: Bacteria; Pseudomonadati; Pseudomonadota; Gammaproteobacteria; Enterobacterales; Enterobacteriaceae
Description: tRNA-Val
Source: RNAcentral
GCGUUGAUAGCUCAGUUGGUUAGAGCCCCACCUUGACAUGGUGGGGGUCGUUGGUUCGGGUCCAAUUAAACGCACCA